This 494-nucleotide ribosomal RNA is filed under the name uncultured bacterium. RNAcentral describes it as "partial 16S ribosomal RNA". It matches the Rfam family "Bacterial small subunit ribosomal RNA", at positions 28 to 507 of the family's 1533-position model. The record is from RNAcentral.
GACGAACGCUGGCGGCGUGCUUAACACAUGCAAGUCGAACGGAAAGGCCUGCUUUCCCUUGUGGAUUGCGGGUACUCGCGUGGCGAACGGGUGAGUAACACGUGAGUGAUCUGCCCCCAACUUGGGUAUAAGCCUGGGAAACUGGGUCUAAUUCCCGAUAGGACUGCAGGGUGGUGCCUGUGGUGGAAAACGAUUUUCUAGUGGUUGGGGAUGAGCUCGCGGCCUAUCAGCUUGUUGGUGGGGUAAUGGCCUACCAAGGCGGCGACGGGUAGCCGGCCUGGGAGGGUGGACGGCAACAGUGGGACUGAGAUACGGCCCAGACUCCUACGGGAGGCAGCAGUGGGGAAUAUGGAACAAUGGGCGGAAGCCUGAUGCAGCGACGCCGCGUGGGGGAUGACGGCCUUCGGGUGGUAAACUCCUUUCGACCGCGAGGAAGCCACCUGGUUGGAAGGGUGGUGACGGUAGUGGUAGAAGAAGCACCGGCUAACUACGUG